CCGCCCGUCACACCAUGAGGGUUGAUAAUACCAGAAGUCGGUAUUCUAACCGCAAGGAGGAAGCCGCCCAAGGUAGGAUUGAUGAUUAGGGUGAAGUCGUAACAAGGUAUCCGUACGAGAACGUGCGGAUGGAUCACCUCCUUCCUAUGGAGUUAAUACUUUAUAGUAAUUAACUAGUUUUAAUGACCGUUAUGUUUAGUUUUCAGAGAUUAGUUUCUCUGAAAAUAACAAGUAAAUGUUAUUGGAAUUGUUCUUUGAAAACUGGAUAAUAGACAUCUAGUUAUUUUAAUCACAUGAUUAAAAUAACAAUAAUUCAAAAUUUCUGUUAUUUUUAAAAAAUAACUAAAAUUUCGCAGUUAUAUUUGUAAAUGAUUCUCAAAAAACUGAUUUAAAAUCAGGUCAAAUAAUUUAUAAAACUUUGAAGUUACAAAGGGCGUAUGGUGAAUGCCUUGGGAAUAGGAGACGAUGAAGGACGUGACUACCUGCGAUAAGGUUCGGGGAGCUGGAAGUAAGCUUUGAUCCGGACAUGUCCGAAUGGGGAAACCCGGUGAGAUUAAUCUCUCAUCAUCCUAUAAUGAAUAAAUAGUUAUAGUGAAGGUAUACCUAGGGAAUUGAAACAUCUUAGUACCUAGAGGAAAAGAAAGCGAAUGCGAUUCUCUUAGUAGCGGCGAGCGAACGGGGAACAGCCCAAACCAGAUUUAUCUGGGGUUGUAGGACCAUAAAUAGUAGAGUUACAAAACUUGUUUAUAGUAGAAAUGGUUGGGAAACCAUGCCGUAGAGGGUGAUAGCCCCGUAUACGAAAUAGACAAGACUCGAAAUGGAAUCCUGAGUACGGCGAGACACGUGAAAUCUUGUCGGAAUCAACGCGGACCACCGCGUAAGGCUAAAUACUACCUAUUCACCGAUAGUGAACCA
This 915-nucleotide small RNA is filed under the name Spiroplasma citri. RNAcentral's name for it is "bacterial LSU rRNA". The stretch from base 418 to 915 matches the Rfam family "Bacterial large subunit ribosomal RNA", at positions 1 to 497 of the family's 2925-position model. The record is from RNAcentral. Lineage: Bacteria; Bacillati; Mycoplasmatota; Mollicutes; Entomoplasmatales; Spiroplasmataceae.